CCCUUAGACGUUCUGGGCCGCACGCGCGCUACACUGACCAGUGCAACAAGCAUCCGUCCUUGGCCGACAGGCUCGGGCAAUCUUUGAACGCUGGUCGUGAUGGGGAUAGACUUUUGCAAUUUUUGGUCUUCAACGAGGAAUUCCUAGUAAACGCAAGUCAUCAGCUUGCGUUGAUUACGUCCCUGCCCUUUGUACACACCGCCCGUCGCUCCUACCGAUUGAAUGGUCCGGUGAAGCGUUCGGACCGUGGCCUUUGGACGGUUCGCCGUCUGUUGGCUGCGGGAAGUUCGUUAAACCUUAUCAUUUAGAGGAAGGAGAAGUCGUAACA
This 328-nucleotide ribosomal RNA is filed under the name uncultured eukaryote. RNAcentral's name for it is "partial 18S ribosomal RNA". It matches the Rfam family "Eukaryotic small subunit ribosomal RNA", at positions 1470 to 1796 of the family's 1831-position model. The record is from RNAcentral.